UACGGAGGGUGCGAGCGUUGUCCGGAAUCAUUGGGCGUAAAGGGCGCGUAGGUGGCCCGGUCAGUCUUUGUGGAAGACGCGGGGCUCAACCCUGCGUCGGCCAGGGAUACUGCCGCGGCUGGAGCACUGUAGAGGCAGGCGGAAUUCCGGGUGUAGCGGUGGAAUGCGUAGAGAUCCGGAAGAACACCGGUGGCGAAGGCGGCCUGCUGGGCAGUUUUGCUGACACUGAGGCGCGACAGCGUGGGGAGCAAACAGG
Molecule: ribosomal RNA, 256 nt
Filed under: uncultured bacterium
Lineage: Bacteria
Description: partial 16S ribosomal RNA
Rfam family: Bacterial small subunit ribosomal RNA
Source: RNAcentral